CCUACGGGUGGCAGCAGUGAGGAAUAUUGGUCAAUGGCCGGAAGGCUGAACCAGCCAUGCCGCGUGAAGGUCAGUGCCCUUUGGGCGUUAAACUUCUUUUGUGCGGGAGCAAUAAUGGUCACGUGUGGCCAGACGAGAGUACCGUACGCAUAAGCAUCGGCUAACUCCGUGCCAGCAGCCGCAGUGAUACGGGGGAUGCAAGCGUUAUCGGGAUUAAUUGGGUUUAAAGGGUGCGUAGGCUGGGAGGUAAGUCAGAGGGGAAAUGCCCCGGCUCAACGGGGGGAAGUGCCAUUGAUACUGGCUUGCUGGAAUGCGGAUGCGGUGGGAGGAAUGUGAGGUGUAGCGGUGAAAUGCAUAGAUAUC
This 363-nucleotide ribosomal RNA is filed under the name uncultured bacterium. RNAcentral's name for it is "partial 16S ribosomal RNA". It matches the Rfam family "Bacterial small subunit ribosomal RNA", at positions 338 to 698 of the family's 1533-position model. The record is from RNAcentral.